Long non-coding RNA from Ailuropoda melanoleuca (giant panda), 1598 nucleotides. The record is from Ensembl. NCBI's taxonomy places the organism in Eukaryota, Metazoa, Chordata, Mammalia, Carnivora, Ursidae.
GUGCAAUCAGUUCUUCUUACUACCUCUAUCUUACAGAUGAGGAGAUUGGUUCAUAAAGAAGUUAAGUAACUUGUCAAGGCCACACACCAUUUAGUUGGUGUACAGCAGGGAUCUGAAUCCAGGCAGUCUGGCUCACAACUAAGGAAUGGACAGUGAUGUGAGAGAGGAGAGGAUGGCCAGUUGGAAGAAGAACUAACUCUACAUUGUGACUUAGUAGUAGGAGGUGGCAGUGGUAAAGGAGAGAGAAGAAUCAGAGAUCUUGAAGAUUGUGACUGUGCUGGUGUAAAUAGUGCUGAAGAAAGCAAGGGUCUAUCUUUUGUCUGUGCUGCACACAGGACAGCAACUUAGAAGGGCUUGCCUUGCCACUUGUAUGGCAUUAAGAGAGCCCCUUGUAAUCCUGUCUCCCAACUUGAUCUGCACAGACUGAGGCUUCCCAGCCAGGUUUGGCACAAAUGUGUAAAAUGUGAAGACUUCACUGGAAUGUCACAGGGAUUAUGACCCUGCCUUUCCGACCUCCCGGGAAUAUUGUGACCAUCAAAUGAGAUAACGAGAGGCAGCUCAGCAGAGUGGGAAGCCAGAGGCUGGGGCCAAGUUGCACUCCCUGUCUCUGAACCCUUGUGGGAAAUCAGCUAAUGCCGGCAAGCCUCAGUUUUCCUACUGGUGAAAGGGAGUCGUUCUUCCAGGAAGUCACUGGAAGAAUGCAAUUUGAAAAUGGUUGAGCUCUUCACGAAUACAGUUGUUGCUAUGAUCAUAACUACGUGGCAGUGGGACAAUGGACUCUACACAGUGCAUAUUGUACAGGAUGGCUUAUAAUUCUGAAAGAAGACACACAGAUGACCAACAGACACAUGAAAAGAUGCUCAACAUCACUCAUCGUCAGGGAAAUGCAAAUCAAAACCACAAUGAAAUAUCGCCUUACAUCUAUCAGAAUGGCUAAAAUAAAAAAUGACAAGAAGUAACACGUGUUGGUGAGGAUGUAGAGAAAAAGAACCUUUCGUGCACUGUUGAUGGGAAUGUAAAUUGGUAUAAUCACCAUGGAAAACAAUAUGGAGAUUCCUUUAAAAAAGUAAAAAUAGGAAUACCAUAUGAUUCUAAUAAUUCCACUGCUGGGUAUUUACCUAAAGAAAAUGAAAACACUAAUUCAAAAAGAUAUAUGCACCCCUGUGUUUAUUGCAGCCGUAUUUACAGUACCCAAAAAAUGGAAGCAACCUAAGUAUCCAUCAGGAGAUUAAUGGGUAAAGAAAAUGUAUAUAUACACAAUGGAAUAUUAUACCAUGAUUAAAAAAAAAGUGAGAUCUUGCCAUUUGUGACAACAUUGAUAGAUCUAGAAGGUAUCAUGCUAAGUGAAAUAAGUCAGACUGAGAAAGACAAAUACAAUACGAUUUCACUCAUAUGUAGAGUCUAAAAAACAAAACAAAUGAAGAAACAGACAAACAAGAAGCAGAACCAGACCUAUAAAUACAGAGAACAACCUGAUGGUUGCAAGAGGGAUGGGGAUGGGUGAAGGAAGGAGGAACAGACUUCCAGUUACAGAAUUAAUAAAUCGUGGGAGUAGAAGGUACAGAAUAAGGAAUAUAGUCAAUGGUAUUGUAAUAGUG